AUUGAACGCUGGCGGCAUGCCUUACACAUGCCAGUCGAACGGUAACAGGUCUUCGGAUGCUGACGAGUGGCGCACGGGUGAGUAAUACAUCGGAACGUGCCCGAUCGUGGGGGAUAACGAAGCGAAAGCUUUGCUAAUACCGCAUAAGAUCUACGGAUGAAAGCAGGGGACCGCAAGGCCUUGCGCGAACGGAGCGGCCGAUGGCAGAUUAGGUAGUUGGUGGGAUAAAAGCUUACCAAGCCGACGAUCUGUAGCUGGUCUGAGAGGACGACCAGCCACACUGGGACUGAGACACGGCCCAGACUCCUACGGGAGGCAGCAGUGGGGAAUUUUGGACAAUGGGCGAAAGCCUGAUCCAGCCAUGCCGCGUGCAGGAUGAAGGCCUUCGGGUUGUAAACUGCUUUUGUACGGAACGAAAAGACUCUGGUUAAUACCUGGGGUCCAUGACGGUACCGUAAGAAUAAGCACCGGCUAACUACGUG
RNAcentral lists this ribosomal RNA (482 nucleotides) under uncultured bacterium. RNAcentral's name for it is "partial 16S ribosomal RNA". It matches the Rfam family "Bacterial small subunit ribosomal RNA", at positions 30 to 507 of the family's 1533-position model. The record is from RNAcentral.